Molecule: non-coding RNA, 110 nt
Organism: Acanthosepion pharaonis
Lineage: Eukaryota; Metazoa; Mollusca; Cephalopoda; Sepiida; Sepiidae
Source: the annotation of a GenBank genome assembly
GGCCACAUCACGUUGAAACACCGGUUCCCGUAAAACCAGAGAAGUUAAGUAACGUCGAUGCUGGUCAGUAACUUGAUCGGUGACCGCUUGGGAAUACCAGGUGUUGUAAG